UGGGGACAGUGUGUACAAAAAGGACA
Molecule: non-coding RNA, 26 nt
Filed under: Mus musculus (house mouse)
Lineage: Eukaryota; Metazoa; Chordata; Mammalia; Rodentia; Muridae
Source: RNAcentral